GAUGAACGCUGGCGGCGUGCCUAAUACAUGCAAGUCGAGCGAACAGACGAGGAGCUUGCUCCUCUGACGUUAGCGGCGGACGGGUGAGUAACACGUGGAUAACCUACCUAUAAGACUGGGAUAACUUCGGGAAACCGGAGCUAAUACCGGAUAAUAUAUUGAACCGCAUGGUUCAAUAGUGAAAGACGGUUUUGCUGUCACUUAUAGAUGGAUCCGCGCCGCAUUAGCUAGUUGGUAAGGUAACGGCUUACCAAGGCAACGAUGCGUAGCCGACCUGAGAGGGUGAUCGGCCACACUGGAACUGAGACACGGUCCAGACUCCUAAGGGAGGCAGCAGUAGGGAAUCUUCCGCAAUGGGCGAAAGCCUGACGGAGCAACGCCGCGUGAGUGAUGAAGGUCUUCGGAUCGUAAAACUCUGUUAUUAGGGAAGAACAAAUGUGUAAGUAACUAUGCACGUCUUGAAGGUACCUAAUCAGAAAGCCACGGCUAACUACGUG
RNAcentral lists this ribosomal RNA (497 nucleotides) under uncultured bacterium. RNAcentral's name for it is "partial 16S ribosomal RNA". It matches the Rfam family "Bacterial small subunit ribosomal RNA", at positions 28 to 507 of the family's 1533-position model. The record is from RNAcentral.